Molecule: long non-coding RNA, 527 nt
Organism: Lagopus muta (rock ptarmigan)
Lineage: Eukaryota; Metazoa; Chordata; Aves; Galliformes; Phasianidae
Exons: 3
Source: RefSeq, a predicted model, not a curated record
GUGGGGACAAUGGAGGUGACACCAAGAUCUGAGGAUGGGGACAAUGGAGGUGACAGUGACCAAGAGCUGGGGAUGGGGACAACGGAGGUGACAUCAGCUGGGGAUGGGGACAACGGAGGUGAGAGUGACCAAGAUCUGAGGAUGGGGACAACGGAGGUGACAUCAGCUGGGGAUGGGGACAAUGGAGGUGACACUGCAUGGGGAUGGGGACCAUGGUGAUGCCAUCAGCUGGAGGUGGGGACAAUGGAGGUGACACCAAGAGCUGGGGAUGGGGACAAUGGAGGUGAUACUGAUCAAGAGCUGGGAAUGGGGACAACAGAGGUGACAUCAGCUGGGGAUGGGGACAAUGGAGAUGACACCAAGAGCUGGGGAUGGGGACAACAGAGGUGACACUGCAUGGGGAUGGGGACCAUGGUGAUGCCAUCAGCUGGAUGUGGGGACAAUGGAGGGUGACAUCAGCUGGGGGUGGGGACAACGGAGGUGACACCAAGAUCUGAGGAUGGGGACAACAGAAGUGACAGUGACCA